This 71-nucleotide transfer RNA is filed under the name Endocarpon pusillum Z07020. RNAcentral's name for it is "tRNA-Leu (TAA) (tRNA-Leu-TAA-3-1)". It matches the Rfam family "tRNA". From Rfam's summary of the family: Transfer RNA (tRNA) molecules are approximately 80 nucleotides in length. Lineage: Eukaryota; Fungi; Ascomycota; Eurotiomycetes; Verrucariales; Verrucariaceae. The record is from RNAcentral.
GCAUCAAUGGUUUAGUGGUAAAAUGUAAGUUAAUAAUCGAUGGGCCCCGCGUUCGAUUCGCGGUUGAUGCA